Podarcis lilfordi (Lilford's wall lizard) is the source of this 72-nucleotide non-coding RNA. The record is from the annotation of a GenBank genome assembly. Lineage: Eukaryota; Metazoa; Chordata; Lepidosauria; Squamata; Lacertidae.
GGGAAAGUAGCUCAGUGGCAGAACAUCUGCUUUGCAUGCAGAAGGCCACAGGUUCAACCCCCAGCAUCUCCA